CGAAAAUAGAGUUUCAGGGUGGUGGCUUCUGCGUCCGCACCGCGGAAUCUUCUCGGCCACGG
This 62-nucleotide non-coding RNA is filed under the name unclassified sequences. The record is from RNAcentral.